Hevea brasiliensis (rubber tree) is the source of this 4925-nucleotide long non-coding RNA. RefSeq lists it as uncharacterized. NCBI's taxonomy places the organism in Eukaryota, Viridiplantae, Streptophyta, Magnoliopsida, Malpighiales, Euphorbiaceae. The record is from RefSeq and is a predicted model, not a curated record. The transcript has 18 exons.
ACAGAGGCACGAGGUUUCCAAGUUGGGUUUCUUCCCUCACAAAUCUUGUCAAUAUUCAGUUAAUGUAUUGCAGAUGUCAGCAUCUCCCACCGCUGGAUCAAAUCCCUUCACUUCAAAUGUUAGAGAUUUUGGGAUUACAUGAUUUAGAAUACAUAGAAAUUGAGGGACAAGCAGCAUCAUUCUUUCCAUCCCUCAAGGUUCUAAAAUUGUGGGAUUGUCGUAAGCUGAUAGGAUGGCGGAUGAAGAGGUAUGAAGAUGACAGUGAUGAUUCAACCACCAUAUCAUCACCAGAUCUACUCCAAUUUCCUUGUCUUUCUGAAUUCCACUGUAGUGGUUGCCCUAAUUUGAGUUUGAUCCCUCAGUUUCCAUCUCUCGAUGAAGAAUUAGUAUUGAUGCCAGUGAGCGUGCAACUUGUGCAGCAAAUAUUCACAACAUCAACUUCUUCUUCUUCUUCCUCAAUCGUUCCUCCUCUCUCUAAAUUGAAGAAGCUCAUUAUUUGGGGCGUUGAGGAUCUCGAAUUUCUACCUCCAGAUGGACUGCACAAUCUCACUUCUCUUCAACAAUUAGAGAUUGAGGGGUGCCCAAGAUUAACAUCUCUGCCUCAAGAGAUGCGUUCCCUCACCUCUUUACGAGAAUUGACAAUUAGUCGUUGUCCCCUGUUGAGCAAAAGAUGUCCAGAUAAAAAGGGUGAGGAUUGGCCUUUUAUUUCUCAAAUCCCAAAUGUUAAAGUUGAUGGCAAGAGAAUUCAAUGGGAGGGCUGCUAUCUACUAGAGGACGAGGAAAAAUCUUCUACCACAUCUGAAAAUUGAAAUGAUAAGUUAUGAAGAUUAAUUGCUGCCUCCUUCUUGAAAAACGUGUAUGAAGUUCUGGAGGGGAACUUCUAACUCAUUGACUCUAUCGGCAGUGGACAGCAGUAAAAACACAAGAAAUACAAUUAAGUUGCAGAAGGAAUGCUGGUUAUAGAACAAGACAAUAUAUGAGAAACUCCGGAGCUGCAAUUACAACCUCGCCGCUAUUCCAAAUGUGUUAGAAGCGGAAAAUAUUUAGUGAAUCUCUGUGGAAGUGUUCUGGUUGCAACUUUGGUUUCUGCGAUACGCAUUGGCAGGAGGUUCCGUGGUUAACUUUCUUCCCUCACAAAUCUUCAGCAGUUAACCAUUUUGGGAAUAGAGUCUUUGCCUUGACAGAUGUGUGGAGAAUCAAUUUUGACAACUCAUCAAUUAUUGAGCAAUUUGGUGAUUUGUUACUGCAGUGCUUCUCACAUUCAUCUUAAAUAUUGCAAAGAGUUCUAACUGUAUACAUAACCGGCAGUCACUUAUCCACACUGGAAAUGGGAGAUCAAGGACAGAUUAUAUUCCCAUAGUUUCUUGGACCAGAAAUAUGAGUGAUUUGAGAAUGUUUUCAUCACAAAAAUGAAAUCAGUGUACAUCUUUUUUCCUUGUGUACCUCAAAGCUUCCUGCCUCUAAUUCAUUUCAUCGUGAAGGGGAUAGAUAGCAGUGGCCAUCCUACAAGGCCUUCAAGGAGAUAGGCUUUGCAUGGAGCAGCAAAAGUGUCAGCUUAUUUCGUCUUAAAACAUUUUAAAGAUCAGAUUUGAAUGUUCAGUUAACAAACUGAAGCAGAGAAGAUAUCAAGACAAUGACUACAAUCUGAUAAUGCAAUUGGACUGAUGAUACGAAUCAUUUGUCAAGGGGGAAAAGAAGAAGACUUCAUACAGUUGUUAAUCAUUGGUUGUCCCCAAUCGAAAGAAAGAUGUGGAAAUUGGCCUUUCAUUUCUCACAUCCCAAAUAUUCAAUUUGAUUGGGAAAGAAUUAAAUGCACAGGAUAAUGAAGGACGAGAUGAUGUGAAGGAUAAUUAUUCUAUGCACAACAAAUUUAGCCACUCUAUUCCUUGGGGAAAGAGUAAUAAACUGGCUCAUCAAGAAAGAGGAGUCCCAGGAUUACUGUUUAUUUACAUCCCUGAAAUUCUAAUAAAUUGGAAAGUGUUGAACAAAUGCAAACGGUGCUCAGCGCAUUAGCAGGUCAUGCUUCUAUCCACUGUAUUCUUUAUAGUAGAGUCUACUUCCAAAAGAUUCAUACACAGGUACUUGUCCUUCUAUCUCGGUAAAACAUUUAAAAGUUCAAGAAUAAAACUUCUAACUCAUUGAGCAAACAUAUUUAUCUUGGUCAUUUCACUAUUUUCCUAACUUGGGUUUCUUUUCCAGGGAAUUUUGGUGCAUAUUCAAGUCAGUGUGAUCGUUAGUGAUCUAGUUUUGCUGGAUUUUAAGAAUUUUGCAUGGAAUUUCACUUGUGCACAUCUCUGAAAAUUCCAUGUAAUAAAUUGAAAUCUGGAACUAGUGCAAAGGAAACUUGGAAGAUAGUUUCUUGAUUCAAUCAUCUAAUUAUUUAUUUUUAUUUUUAUUCUCUCAUGUAGAAUGGUGGUUACAGAACAAAACGAGAAAUGAGGAGCUCCAGUGCUACAAUUACAACCUUGCUAUGCUUUUCCAAAUAUAUUAGAUAUGUCAUAUUCUUGGAGUUUUUUUUCUUUUCUUUUUCUUCUUCCUCGAUCAUUCCUCCUCUUUCUGAUUUGAAGAAGCUCUGAUUUGCCACAUAGAAGAACUCGUGCCACACAGAGGCAUGAGGUUUCCAAGUUGGGUUUCUUCAAAUCUUGUCAAUAUUAAGUUACUGCAUUGCAGAUGUCAGCAUCUCCCACCAUUGCAUCAAAUCCCUUCUCUUCAAAACUUAGAGAUUUCGGGAUUAAAUGAUUUAGAAUACAUAGAAAUUGAGGGACAAGGAACAUCAUUCUUCCCAUCCCUCAAGUAUCUGAAAAUACAGUUUUGUUCUAAACUGAUAGGAUGGCGGAAGAAGAGGUAUGAAGAUGAUAGUGAUGAUUCAACCACCAUAUCAUCACCAGACCUACUCCAAUUUCCUCGUCUUUCUCGCUUCAUUUGUCAUUAUCGCCCUAAUUUGAGUUGGAUCCCUCAGUUUCCAUCUAUCGAAGUUUUAGAUUUGAGGGCACUGAGCGUGCAACUUGUGCAGCAAAUAUUCACAACAUCAAUAUCUUCUUCUUUCUUCUUCUUCUUCUUCUUCUUCUUCUUCCUCAAUCAGUCCUCCUCUCUCUAAAUUGGAGAAUCUUCAGAUUGAGGAGAUUGAGGAACUCAUAUCUCUACCGUCAGAUGUAUUGCAGAAUCUCACUUCUCUUCAAACUUUAAAGAUUAGUAAUUGCCCAAGAUUAACUUCUCUGCCUCGAGAGAUGUGUUCCCUAACAUCUUUAUGAGAAUUGGAAAUUGAUGAUUGUCCCCUAUUGAACGAAAGAUGCGCAAAUAAAAAAGGCGCAGAUUGGCCUUUCAUUUCUCACAUCCCAAAUAUUGAAGUUGAUUACAAGAGAAUUCAAUGGGAGGGCCGCUAUCGACUAAAGAACGAAGAAAAAACAUCUAGAGCUUCUGAAAUGGAAUGAUACAAGUUAAUGAAGAUUAGAUGCCUAAUAAUUUAGCUACUCUAUACCAUUGGAAAUCAGCAGUACUAACUUCUAGUUGAAGAAACGAAUUUGCUUUGCAUCUUGAAGCAGGUAUAAGGUCAUAGACUGCAGCUAUGACCCCACCAUUGUUCCCAUCUCCCUCUUCUACAGAAUUCUAACUCUGUAUAUGGUGACAUGCACGAAUCACUGCUCAAAUCUAGAGGAAAUUUUGGUGACGACUUACAACCAACGAUCAUGGCCAACUCCAUGACCUCCUUUUCCUCUUGCAGGAUGCUGGAUUCCCUUUUGAUAAUCGCUUCUUAGUCUUCAAUGGUGAUUAUGUUGACUGAGGCGCUUGAGGUCUCAAGACCUUGCUUUUGUUAGCUUGGAAGGAAUUGGCCUAUGCUUUUUGACUUAUUAAUUCAAAAGUCAACUUCUCUUGAGAAUAUGGAGGUUCUCAAAUAGGGAGAUUCCUGGAUGAAAAUAGAAAGUUUUGUAUUCAUUCAAGAUCUCAGUAUUAGUCACUGCAAAAAGUUCAAAAGCUAUUGGGGGGUGUCUAACUGUUAGGAGCACUUAUGUAGAAGGCAAAGAUUUCUUCUGGUAGCAGAUGUGUGAUAACUUGUCAAAAAUGCAUAGCUAAACAAACCUCACCACCUAUCCUGGUCAGUCAUUUAAACUUUAUUUUGUUGUGAUAGUUUUCUGCAGAUUCCACGCACUUCCAUGAACAAUUGGCAAUUGUUUGUGUGAGUUCUCUCUAACAAAUUGAAGCAGAGAAGAUAUCAAGACAAUGACUACAAUCUGAUGAUUUAACAGGUUGCUCUAACACAAGCCAUGUGAAAAGAAGAAGACUGUAUACAGUUGUUAAUCAUUGGUUGUCCCCAGUUGCAAGAAAAAUGUGGAAAUUGGCAUUUCAUUUCUCACAUCCCAAAUGUUCAACUUGAUUGGGAAAGAAAUAAAUGCACAGGAAAAUGAAAAUAGUGUGAAGGAUAAGUAUUCCAUGCACCACAAAUUUAGCAACUCUAUUCCUUGGGAAAAGAGCAAUAAACUGGCUCAUCAAGAAAGAGGAGUCCCACGGUUACUGGUUUUUUACAUCCCUGAAAUUCUAAUAAAUUGGGAAGUGUUGAACAAAUGCAAACGGUGCUGAGCGCAUUAGCAGGUCACGCUUCUAUCCAUUGUAUUCUUUGGAAUAGAGUCUGCUUCAAGAAGAUUCAUACACAGGGAAUUUUGGUGCAUAUUCAAGUCAAUUUGAUCAUCAGUGAUAUAGUUUUGCUGGAUUUUAAGAAUUUUACAUGGAAUUUCACAUUGUCCACAUCUCUGAAAAUUCCAAAAAGAAUGGUGGUUACAGAACAAAACAAGAAAUGAGGAGCUCCAGUGCCACAAUUACGACCUGGCUAUGCUUUUCCAAAUAUAUUAGAUAUGUCAUAUUCUUGGAGUCUUGUUUCUUUUCUUUUUCUUCUUCCUCGAUCAUUCCUCCUCUCUCUGAUUUGAAGAAGC